UGUGCCUUGUGGCGGCUAUGGAGGCGCUGAGCUUGACUGGAUGGCAAGAUCGGGCCAUGGCGGACGAAGCGCUUCUCAUGGAUGAAGCGUUCUUUGAUCAGAUCCGAUGGAUUUGAGGAGGGCAGGGAAGGGUUUGAGGAUGUGAAUGCGGGCGGCGGCGUGGAUGCGCAGCGCGAUCUGCCAGUGAAGAGAAAACUUGUGGUUCCCGAUGUGUGCGUGGAGUCGACGAUGCUGUAGCGUAAAAGACUCCAAUUGCCGUCGUAGAGGACAGUAUCAUUGUUCUCGAAGAUUGCCGGGGAAGAAAAUUGUCGCGAAGAGACUUUUGACGGAACCGUGGUUGGAGCAAGAAGUUGAUAGAAACUUCUCUGAUAAUAAAAAGUUUGUUCUCAUGGAUUUUCUCGAAGGCUUGCGAGCUCGCUGAGAAGGAAAGAGAUCUCAUCGCUGUCUCGAGGGAGAGGCUAUGGGUUGAUCAAUACUCGCUGAAGUCGUUCCCGAGCUUUUAAGCGAUGAACGGAUCAAUCGAGAGUUGCGGAUACGGUGUUAGAAGGCACUCUACACUUAGAGGUUCUCAAAGACAAUAACAAGAUAUGAGGCGAAGAACAAACGGAACAGCGUCAACGAUAACAAGAGUUCUUCAGGUGACCGGCAAGAGAUCAGAAGGUCCUUCUUUUAUGUGGCUCGCCGGGCCUUGGAAAGACGACACUUGCACAAGUUCCUCGUAUGUGAUGAUCGCACAGCGUCUUCUUUUCGGACCGAAACUUUGGAUGCUCUUCAAAUCGAGACAGUCACAGGGGAUUCUGACCGCUCCAUCUAUUUCAUCAAGAAUCUGUCAAUUCAGUAAAUCUUCCACAGAGCAGUAAUUUUACCAGACAAUUUGGCUGGGAAGGGGUUUUUUAGUUGGUCUGAUUACUGCAGAGGCGAAGGCUGUCUCUCGAAAUGAUAACGACGAUAAAAAUGUCCAAACCUCAAAGAAAGAAGACUGCCAUCUCUCGACUGUCUAGACCCGUAAGAUUGCGUCGUAUAGAGAACCUGACCAGCUUUUGUGGCACAGAUAGUUUGCGUUUGCAACGAUCUCUACGCUUCACAUUGCCCGGUACUGCAACACCAUCUUGUUUAUCUCAUAACAGCAGGUUUGGCAGGAUUAAUACUUUUUCUCCUCCAAGUCCUCAUAGGAUAGUGACAACUUACAAGGCUAAAUUUCACUUGCAAGUCGGAAGGUUCCAAGGUGUCCGGACAAACGCGCCCUACUCGUCUACAUCAGUGCUCUCUCUGAUACAAAGGAACUGUUACCUCUCGGGCAAUAGCCAACCAGCUUACAGUUCUUAGCCCUGUGCUACGAGAUAUCGGGAGCAUAGUUUGUGGAGACAACAAGAUGAAGUGAUGCCGUGAUUGCUGCUGGUGGUAACAUUCUAUAUCCUAGAAGCUUUUCUCAAGGGAUAUCUUCCUGGUGGUGUUGUUGGAGCGCACCAAUCAUAGAGCGGUCCUGAAGCCAUCUUCGACGUGAAAGAGGAGGAGGCAGUCUACGCGCUGGGAAAUCUCUACGUGAUGCCGAAAGAAGCAACAGCAGCACAGAGUCGCCCAAUAGUGAAGUCGCCCGACCCGGAGGCAUCAAAACUCGACCGGUAGCUUCGCUGACACGAAGCUCUUUGUGCUCACAGGCGGCACAAAGCUCAUGGAAGUGAAAUUGCGAUGGAAUGCUGCGCUCCACUGAGAAACAUGGGGAAUCAUCUCCUCAACACUUCCUUUGUUAGCGAGCUCGAAGAAGAAGUAAAAAAAUUUAAAGUGACGGUAUCUUAGGUAUAUCCAUUAAGUGAUUUCAAAAUGGGGUAUCAAAUA
Long non-coding RNA from Selaginella moellendorffii, 1836 nucleotides. RefSeq lists it as uncharacterized. The transcript has 9 exons. The record is from RefSeq and is a predicted model, not a curated record. NCBI's taxonomy places the organism in Eukaryota, Viridiplantae, Streptophyta, Lycopodiopsida, Selaginellales, Selaginellaceae.